This 1182-nucleotide long non-coding RNA is filed under the name Ananas comosus (pineapple). Its description in RNAcentral is "long non-coding RNA (ACOM_LNC013739)". Lineage: Eukaryota; Viridiplantae; Streptophyta; Magnoliopsida; Poales; Bromeliaceae. The record is from RNAcentral.
CUAAUGCUUCAUACAUCGUACAAUAUAUUAAAUAAUUAAUAAAAUGUUUAGUAAUCAGUAGUGUAAAAUAAAAUAUAAUAUAAAUACUUAAAUAAUUUAUUAUAUAAUAUAAAUUUUUAUUUAACACAUAAUUUAGAGUCGGUGUACGAUGUGAUUAAAAUAUAAGUGCAGGACUCCAAUCAGGCCUUUCUAAAGUGUGGUACAACCACUAUAAUUGAAUGUUCUAUCUCUUAUACAAUCAUAACUGUCUAAUAGAUCCAUCUUCAUUUAUCAUAAAAAGGUAACUCUCUCUCUCUAUAUCUAUAAACAUAUAUGAAGCCACAAUACUUUUUGUCACGUGGCAUGUUACCCUUCAUUCUCAUAACCCCACUUUAAAUCAAACCAUCUUCUCAUCUUCUCAACGCCUAACAUUUCACUUCCCCAGUCCUCUAAUUACAUGUAAGGUGCAACAUUUAAUUACAUGCACCAUAUUAAUAUUCUAUCACUACAACAGAAUUAGAUUAUAGGGACACAUGUUUGGGACACUUUUGAGUAAGUGUCCCAUUUAUGCUAAAACUUAAAGAAACAUCUACUAAUGCCUAAAUAUAAAGCCCAAUCCAACCAAAAAUAAAAGAUUACUCUACUCGACCCACCACACCCAGUCCAUUUGGCCCGAUUACAAACAGAAAAGAAAAAAAAAAAGAAAAAUCAAUUACCAUAUUUUCUUCUCUCUUCACUCAAUCCACUAAAAUUCUGGACGAAGAGCCAUUCCUGUCGUCCUCCUCGGCCACCACAGCCAACGAGAUAGAGUUUCGGCGGUUGCUAAAUGCUUAAAUAAGUUGUUGGUAAAUUAGCAACAAUCUUUUAGGUUAUAGCGACACUUUUUAACCGUCACUAUAUACCUAGCGACCCCACAUAUAGCAACACUUUUUAAAAGUGUCGGUAAUUUUAGCUAGCAGCACUUUUUUGACAUGUACCUAUAUUUAAAAGUGUCGCUAUAGACCGUUUUUGUUGUAGUGUAUCAAUGAAUGGGCUUUAUAACUUUAAUCCACUCCCCUCCUCUAUUAAUUUUCGACCCCCUCUCUUUUUGUAACUCUUUUGCAUGCACCAUAAGAAAAACAUCAUCGUCUAAUAUCCUACCCCACACUUAUCUCCCUCUUUCUCUCAUUGUGUUAACAAAGAAAAAGAAGAAGAAUAAGAAGA